AUUGAACGCUGGCGGCAUGCUUUACACAUGCAAGUCGAACGGCAGCGCGGGCUUCGGCCUGGCGGCGAGUGGCGAACGGGUGAGUAAUACAUCGGAACGUGCCCAGUAGUGGGGGAUAGCUCGGCGAAAGCCGGAUUAAUACCGCAUACGACCUGAGGGUGAAAGCGGGGGAUCUUCGGACCUCGCGCUAUUGGAGCGGCCGAUGGCUGAUUAGCUAGUUGGUGGGGUAAAGGCCUACCAAGGCGACGAUCUGUAGCUGGUCUGAGAGGACGACCAGCCACACUGGGACUGAGACACGGCCCAGACUCCUACGGGAGGCAGCAGUGGGGAAUUUUGGACAAUGGGCGAAAGCCUGAUCCAGCAAUGCCGCGUGUGUGAUGAAGGCCUUCGGGUUGUAAAGCACUUUUGGCGGGAACGAAAAGGACUGUGCCAAUACCACGGUUCGAUGACGGUACCCGCAGAAUAAGCACCGGCUAACUACGUG
Molecule: ribosomal RNA, 484 nt
Filed under: uncultured bacterium
Lineage: Bacteria
Description: partial 16S ribosomal RNA
Rfam family: Bacterial small subunit ribosomal RNA
Source: RNAcentral